Molecule: ribosomal RNA, 251 nt
Filed under: uncultured bacterium
Lineage: Bacteria
Description: partial 16S ribosomal RNA
Rfam family: Bacterial small subunit ribosomal RNA
Source: RNAcentral
CGUAGGGGCCGAGCGUUGUCCGGAGUUAUUGGGCGUAAAGCGCGCGCAGGCGGCCUCGCGCGCCCGACGUGAAAGCCCCCGGCUUAACCGGGGAGGGUCGUUGGGGACGGCGGGGCUUGAGGGCGGGAGAGGGUGGUGGAAUUCCCGGUGUAGUGGUGAAAUGCGUAGAGAUCGGGAGGAACACCCGUGGCGAAGGCGGCCACCUGGGCCGACCCUGACGCUGAGGCGCGAAGGCGUGGGGAGCGAACGGG